UACGAAGGGGGCUAGCGUUGCUCGGAAUCACUGGGCGUAAAGGGUGCGUAGGCGGGGCUUUAAGUCAGGGGUGAAAUCCUGGAGCUCAACUCCAGAACUGCCUUUGAUACUGAGGAUCUUGAGUUCGGGAGAGGUGAGUGGAACUGCGAGUGUAGAGGUGAAAUUCGUAGAUAUUCGCAAGAACACCAGUGGCGAAGGCGGCCCACUGGCCCGAUACUGACGCUGAGGCACGAAAGCGUGGGGAGCAAACAGG
RNAcentral lists this ribosomal RNA (253 nucleotides) under uncultured bacterium. Its description in RNAcentral is "partial 16S ribosomal RNA". It matches the Rfam family "Bacterial small subunit ribosomal RNA", at positions 524 to 776 of the family's 1533-position model. The record is from RNAcentral.